This 446-nucleotide ribosomal RNA is filed under the name uncultured bacterium. RNAcentral's name for it is "partial 16S ribosomal RNA". It matches the Rfam family "Bacterial small subunit ribosomal RNA", at positions 338 to 795 of the family's 1533-position model. The record is from RNAcentral.
CCUACGGGCGGCAGCAGUCGAGAAUCAUUCACAAUGGGGGAAACCCUGAUGGUGCGACGCCGCGUGGGGGAAUGAAGGUCUUCGGAUUGUAAACCCCUGUCAUGUGGGAGCAAAUUAAAAAGAUAGUACCACAAGAGGAAGAGACGGCUAACUCUGUGCCAGCAGCCGCGGUAAUACAGAGGUCUCAAGCGGUGUUCGGAAUCACUGGGCGUAAAGCGUGCGUAGGCUGUUUCGUAAGUCGUGUGUGAAAGGUGCGGGCUCAACCCGCGGACGGCACAUGAUACUGCGGGACUAGAGUAAUGGAGGGGGAACCGGAAUUCUCGGUGUAGCAGUGAAAUGCGUAGAUAUCGAGAGGAACACUCGUGGCGAAGGCGGGUUCCUGGACAUUAACUGACGCUGAGGCACGAAGGCCAGGGGAGCGAAAGGGAUUAGAUACCCUUGUAGUC